GAAUCAACGCUGGCGGCGUGCCUAACACAUGCAAGUCGAACGCGAAAGGGGCUUCGGUCCUGAGUAGAGUGGCAAACGGGUGAGUAACACGUGGGUGACCUGCCUUCGAGUGGGGGAGUAACGUCCCGAAAGGGACGCUAAUACCGCAUGACAUCCUGCUUUUGGAAAAGCGGACAUUAAAGCCGGGGAUCGCAAGACCUGGCGCUUGAAGAGGGGCCCGCGCCUGAUUAGCUAGUUGGNGGGGUAAUGGCUCACCAAGGCAACGAUCAGUAUCCGGCCUGAGA
RNAcentral lists this ribosomal RNA (284 nucleotides) under uncultured bacterium. RNAcentral describes it as "partial 16S ribosomal RNA". It matches the Rfam family "Bacterial small subunit ribosomal RNA", at positions 27 to 297 of the family's 1533-position model. The record is from RNAcentral.